GACGAACGCUGGCGGCGUGCUUAACACAUGCAAGUCGAGCGGUAAGGCCCUUUCGGGGGUACACGAGCGGCGAACGGGUGAGUAACACGUGGGUGACCUGCCCUCAGCUCUGGGAUAAGCCUGGGAAACCGGGUCUAAUACCGGAUAUGACUCCAUGACGCAUGUUGUGGGGUGGAAAGCCUUGUGCGGCUGAGGAUGGGCCCGCGGCCUAUCAGCUUGUUGGUGGGGUGAUGGCCUACCAAGGCGACGACGGGUAGCCGGCCUGAGAGGGCGACCGGCCACACUGGGACUGAGACACGGCCCAGACUCCUACGGGAGGCAGCAGUGGGGAAUCUUGCGCAAUGCGCGAAAGCGUGACGCAGCAACGCCGC
This 371-nucleotide ribosomal RNA is filed under the name uncultured bacterium. Its description in RNAcentral is "bacterial SSU rRNA". It matches the Rfam family "Bacterial small subunit ribosomal RNA", at positions 28 to 400 of the family's 1533-position model. The record is from RNAcentral.